GUGCAGCAGGCGCGAAAACUCCGCAAUGCUCGAAAGAGUGACGGGGGAUUCCAAGUGCCUACGCUUAGCGUAGGCUGUUCAGAUGCCUAAAAAGCAUCUGGAGUAAGGGCUGGGUAAGACGGGCGCCAUCUGCAGUGGUAAUGAAAAACUUGCUACUGCAAGGCAUAAGCCGCCGCGGUAAUACCCGCAGCCCGAGUGGUAGUCGCUUUUAUUGGGCCUAAAGCGUCCGUAGCCGGUCUGGUAAAUGGCCUGGGGUAAAUCGUGGGGGCCUAACCUCACGAAUUCCGGGUAGACUGCCAGACUUGGGGACCGGUUGAGGGAGAGGGUACU
RNAcentral lists this ribosomal RNA (330 nucleotides) under uncultured microorganism. Its description in RNAcentral is "bacterial SSU rRNA". It matches the Rfam family "Archaeal small subunit ribosomal RNA", at positions 330 to 619 of the family's 1478-position model. The record is from RNAcentral.